GACGAACGCUGGCGGCGUGCUUAACACAUGCAAGUCGAACGGUAAGGCCCUUCGGGUACGACGAGUGGCGAACGGGUGAGUAACACGUGGGUGAUCUGCCCUGCACUUCGGGAUAAGCCUGGGAAACUGGGUCUAAUACCGGAUAGGACCAUGGACUUCACGGUUUGUGGUGGAAAGCUUUUGCGGUGUGGGAUGGGCCCGCGGCCUAUCAGCUUGUUGGUGGGGUAAUGGCCUACCCAAGGCGACGACGGGUAGCCGGCCUGAGAGGGUGUCCGGCCACACUGGGGACUGAGAUACGGCCCAGACUCCUACGGGAGGCAGCAGUGGGGAAUAUUGCACAAUGGGCGCAAGCCUGAUGCAGCGACGCCGCGUGA
RNAcentral lists this ribosomal RNA (374 nucleotides) under uncultured bacterium. RNAcentral describes it as "bacterial SSU rRNA". It matches the Rfam family "Bacterial small subunit ribosomal RNA", at positions 28 to 404 of the family's 1533-position model. The record is from RNAcentral.